ACGGCUCAGUAACACGUAGCUAACCUGCCUUUAGGCCAAGGAUAUUCUCGGGAAACUGAGAGCAAUACUUGAUAAGAGAUGAUUUCUGGAACGAUCUAUCUCUGAAACGCAAGGUUCUAAAGAGGGGGCUGCGGUGGAUUAGGUUGUUGGUAGUGUAAUGGACCACCAAGCCUUUGAUCCAUAAGGGCUCUUAGCGGAGAGGCCCUGAGAAGGAAUCUGAGACACUAUUCCUAGCCCCACGGGGUGCAGCAGUUAGGGAUUUUUUGCAAUGCGCGAAAGCGUGACAAAGCGAACCAGAGUGUUUUUCAUUUUUGAAAAACUUUUGUCAGCUGUAAAAUUGCUGGCGAAUAAGGACUGGGCAAGACCGGUGCCAGCCGCCGCGGUAAUCCCGGCAGUCCAAGUCGCAGCCACAAUUAUUGGGUCUAAAACAUCCGUAGCUUGCUAUGUAAGUCUUUUGUGAAAUUCGGCCUCUUAAGGGUCGAGCGUGCAAGAGAUACUGCAUAGCUAGAGUCCGGAGGAUGUAAGAAGUACGAAUGAGGUAGUGGUAAAAUACGUUAAUCUCAUUCGGACUCACAACAGCGAAGGCAUCUUACAACGACGGUUCUGACAGUGAGGGAUGAAGGCUAGGGUCGCAAAUUGGAUUAGAUACCCAUGUAGUCCUAGCAGUAAACACUGCGCACUAAACAUCGGGGCCUCCUCGAGAGGUUUCGGUGCUGUAGAGAAGUCGAAGAGUGCGCUACCUGGGAAGUAUAGUCGCAAGGCCGAAACUUAAAGGAAUUGGCGGGGGAGCAC
RNAcentral lists this ribosomal RNA (792 nucleotides) under uncultured archaeon. RNAcentral describes it as "bacterial SSU rRNA". It matches the Rfam family "Archaeal small subunit ribosomal RNA", at positions 85 to 879 of the family's 1478-position model. The record is from RNAcentral.